Molecule: long non-coding RNA, 541 nt
Filed under: Heterocephalus glaber (naked mole-rat)
Lineage: Eukaryota; Metazoa; Chordata; Mammalia; Rodentia; Bathyergidae
Description: lncRNA (ENSHGLG00100042140.1)
Source: RNAcentral
GGAAUACUAGAUACACUUACUGAUUGGGGGAUUUGACCAGCAGUUGGCUGCAUUUCCAGCUAAGUCGUCAGCCUGGAUAUUGAUGAAUUUUUUUAAUAAGAGAACAUCUCUUUUUUAUCUAUGUCUCUGUCAAAAGUGAGUGAACACAGGACAUAGUGUUCACAGUUGAAGGAGCAGGUACCUCCAUAAAUCCGUUUCUCCAUGAGAACAACAAAAACAGCGAAACAAAAUACCCAGUCAACUUUUUCCGAACUCUGGAAGUCAACCAAAGGGAUCAAACUCAGGACCUUGCGCUUGUGAGGCAGGUGGCAGCACCACUGAGCUAAAUCCCCAAUCCACUACCGCAAUUCUUAUGAGAUAGCAUUAUCGUCAUUCUGCAGACGGGGAAAGAUUAUUUUUCAAGGUCACUGUGGUAGAUAUUUUACAAAGAUGGCUAUACCAUACCUCCAUCCUCUACAAUGUGGCCCUACCACUCCCUUCUUCCAGGGGAAAGACUGAAUCUCCUCCCCUUAAAUCUGGAUGGGGUUGUGAUUGUUUUGAC